GGAAAGCCCCUGAGCUGGAAAAUAGCACUGAGGUGGUUUCAUGAAAGAGGAAGCAGCAAGGCUGGGCCUUGAAGAACGUGAAGGAGUCACCCAGCUAGAGAGGGCAGGAGGGUGUUCCACGAAGUACAAACAUCAUGAACAGAAAGUCAAAGAGUGAAAGUGAAGGGAGGAUUGGGGAGCAGUGAACAGACAAUGUGAGAGAGCUGCGGCACCAUGGAGAAGAGUAAUGAGAGGGACAUCCUGAAGGAAAGACAAUAUGAAGGACUGUCGAUGCCAAAGAAAGGACUUUCAGCCAUAUGCACGCAAUGGGGAGCAAUGCAAGAUUGUCAACCAAGAGACUGAGGUGACCAGAUCUGCUUCACAGCAGCAGCAGCAGCAGUGUACAUGGAAGAUUAGAGGACCGAGAGAGAUGCAUGUCAGGAAAAUCAGCUAACAGACUCUAAAAUAACUAAGACUUGAGAAAGAUCUGGAUCAAAGCUUUAACAGCAGCAAUAAAGAAAAAAGAAGAGACAUUUCUGUAAUCAGAUCUAGAAAAGUUGAUGACCCCCAGGAUAACAGCCAUGAAAGUGAGAAGUGCAGGACACAAUGGUUUAAGCUUGGAAUCUCAGCCACUCCGAAGUCGCUGAGGUGCUGCUACCACAAACAUGAGGAAACUUCUGUUAGGAGUUCAACCUUCAGAGAGGACAGCUGGCAGUGCAAGAUGGUGACAGCCCUGCAAUCAGGAGAAGAAAGUCAUGAGAGUAAGGAAUGAUGGAGAGGGAUGAGAGCGUUUUCUAGGAUUUGAAGAGUUAAGAGACUCUGAAUAAUUGGCAGGGGAAGCUGGGAUGGAGAACAAAGUAGGAGAAGAAUCAUUUGCUGUGAACUCUGUAUUUGGAUUCCAUUUUUGAUGAUCUUUGAAAAUGGGAAUAAAGGAUUUGGGUUAUUUUUAAAUUCCUUUGGAGGCUAGACAGUUUCCCUAAAUUCAGCAUUCCCUUUGAAACUAGACCGCAUGAGUCUCUGGUUUGUGCAGGGUUACCCUGGGUCAGAGUUGCCUCUAGAAUAAGCAAUGGGUAAGUCCUUGAGCUGUUGGAAGCGCAUGGAGUGCCUGACAG
This 1091-nucleotide long non-coding RNA is filed under the name Homo sapiens (human). RNAcentral describes it as "HSALNT0332726". Lineage: Eukaryota; Metazoa; Chordata; Mammalia; Primates; Hominidae. The record is from RNAcentral.